This is a non-coding RNA of Cinara cedri, 1962 nucleotides long. The record is from the annotation of a GenBank genome assembly. Lineage: Eukaryota; Metazoa; Arthropoda; Insecta; Hemiptera; Aphididae.
UGAAAAACCGUGAAAACAUAACCAAGCAAGUGCAAAAUUCUUCUCUCCUCAACAAUAGAAAAUGAAUGAAAAUUUGUGUCUAUGAAGAAGUUGACUACACUGUUCUUAAAUGGAUGACUUUGUUAUAUGGAAGUUUCACUGUACAAAUCGAAGAAAACUGCCAGUAGAACAGGCGUGUUUUAAACAGAAAAGAAGCUGUAGUGAACAAGUACUAUCACUAAAAACCUGUUUUUUUUCUUUCGAAAGAAACUGAAAACGGAAGCUGUUUUCCUAAACCUGGCCUGCGCCACGGUGUGGAUACGAGGUUUACUUUUGAAAUUAGCCAAAAUUAUAAAAUGUAAAACAUCAUUGCGACUUAUUGUCAAUAUACUGUCAGACAGAAAAUAUAAAGUUCACCUAAAUGGAAAAGUAAGCAAAUACAAAUUCCUUCAAAAUGGUCUUCCUCAGGGCUCAGUACCCUCCCCCAUCUUGUUUAAUGUCUACACAGCGGAUAUCAUAAAUACCUCGGCGCGCAAAUUUAUGUAUUUAGAUGGGAUCAGCAGCCCAACCAGAAUCUUUUGAAAAGUUGGAGGAUAUAUUAAACGAAGACCUAGUAAGAGUACAGAAAUAUUUCAAAUCUUGGUUCCUUGUCCUUAACCCAAAUAAAACCACAUCCAUGGUGUUCGAUUUGAACAACAGAGAUGCUAACAGAAAACUUAACCUGAUAGUUCAAGGAACUAAACUAAUGAGUGACGCUCCAAAAUAUCUAGGGAUCAAGUUGGACACCUACAACCUACAUCUUGAAGAUGUAAAGAAUAAACUAAAAACCAGGAAUAAUAUUAUUAGUAAACUAGCAGGAACAAGUUGGAGCUGCCGAGCAAAUGUACUCCGCAUAUCGGCCCUAGCCUUGGUAUACAGCGUCGCGGAGUAUUGCGCCCCCGUCUGGGAGAGAAGCAUACACGCUAAAAAGGUUGACACUCAGCUGAAUAAUAUGCGAAUCAUUACAGGAUGUGUCCGGGCUACCAACUUACAGUGGCUUCAUAUCCUUUCAAGUAUAGCCCCCCCCUGGCUGCUCAAAAUUGUUACAAAAAAUCAAUAGAUCAGUGAGUCUUCCUGUAUACAACGACAUAAAUAAUGCAUCCACUAAAAGAUUAAGAUGAAGGCACCCAAUCUGAUCAGUAGAAAAUAGUUCUGACAGAAUGGAGGAUAUGUGGAAACAAUGCUGGGAAGAAGGUAACGCGAAAAACAGACACCUGAUAAGUGACCCUACCCAAAGAGUCCCAGGUUUUGAUUGCCCAAGAGCCAUAUGGACCAACUUAUACAGGAUUCGAACGAAUCUGGGUAAUUGUAACUACCUCCUACAUAAAUGGAAAAUAAAAAACUCUCCUUUGUGACUGCGGACAAAUACAAACCAUCCAACAUAUUAUGGAGGAAUGUCCUCAAACGAGAUACAAGGGAGGAAUUGAGGAACUUCAUACGAGCAGUGAAGAAGCAAUGAGUUAGUUGUCGAAAACUCAGUUCGCUAUUAAAUAUAUUAUGAGCUUCUUUAUUAUUAUUAUUUUUUAGUAUAUUGUAAAUCUAUCUGCCUUAUUCCUCGUUAUUUUGUUAAUUUAAUUUAGUUAUGUUUUUCUCUAAUAAACCUAAAGAAAUGAAAGAAAAAAACUACUGCAGUUUAAAAAUCUGAACUAGUUUGCUGUAAUGCCACCACAUAUUGGGAUUUCACUAUUCAAAACGGCUCAUCACCAGGACCUGUCAUAUCAAAAUAUGACCUUAGCAAAUUUAUGAUUGAAUGGUUUAACUAAACCCGUUUUUAUAAGCAGCAAUGUGGUUUGACAACCAGAAUUUUUUAAACAUUUCUCCAAAAAUGGAAAAUAAUUAUGCAACCAUAAUAUUAUAAAAAAUCUACUCAAAGUCUCUAAUAAUAAUUUACAACAGUAUUUAGAUUAAUUAGUAAAUUAAUUUUAAAAAAACCAUUUCCAAACC